CCUGCCUCUAUCCCUGUCUUGAGACCUGCACAGUAUCACAGAUCACAGAAUCACACAGUAUCACAGAGCUGUGAUUUGAAUUCUUCAUGGCCGUAGUCAAGAACAGAGGAACACCAAAACCCAGAAAUAAGAUGGAGGAAAACCUUUCAGAAUGCUCAUUUUGGCUGUUUUAUGAAGAAGUGAUUCAGUACAGCAAGGCCAGAGGUGGUGAUUUUGGACAGGAGAAAAUGAAUGUUCAUAGGGUUGGAAAGAAGAUAAAAGAAUACAUCAUAUUCAAGAAAAAUUAGUUAGUGCAUAGAAUCAACAUAACUCGUUAGUUAGUAGAGGAGAGGACUGAAAGAAAAUGAGGAAAGUAUAACUCCCAAGUUUCUGGAUUAUAAAUCAAGUUAUGAGUCACUGAGAUUGGAAAUGUACUGGUAUCUGUAGGAAUGAACUGAAGGUGGAAAAUUCCAUUCUGGACAUGAUGAAAUGUACAGAGUCUAUGCAGACUAUUUACGCAGACAUAGGUUUUGAGAUAAAGAAUUUUCAAUCAUUUCACACCUGACCCUAAAAAUAUGGAUGCUUUCAGAAAAUCCUUGAGAAUACUGAAGUUGUAAAUAAUAUGGAAUGUAUAUGUGUAUGUGUAUUUCCAGGAAAGAGUUGGUUAAUUUUCAGCUGUUUCUCAUUGAAUUCUGUAGUCCAUCAGUGCUUUCUGAAGUCUUGCAAAGGAAUGAAAUCAUGUAAUUCUGGGGAAAUUUGA
Talpa occidentalis (Iberian mole) is the source of this 739-nucleotide long non-coding RNA. RefSeq lists it as uncharacterized. The transcript has 3 exons. NCBI's taxonomy places the organism in Eukaryota, Metazoa, Chordata, Mammalia, Eulipotyphla, Talpidae. The record is from RefSeq and is a predicted model, not a curated record.